Molecule: ribosomal RNA, 1186 nt
Filed under: metagenome
Description: SSU rRNA
Rfam family: Eukaryotic small subunit ribosomal RNA
Source: RNAcentral
GUCUCUGCUCUUCGGGGCAGAGCGCAGUUAUUAGACCAAAACCAGCCGUAUUCUUCGGGGUACGCUCUUUUGGUGACUCUGGAUAACCUUCAGCCGAUCGCAUGGCCUCGUGCCGGCGACGUAUCUUUCAAGUGUCUGCCCUAUCAACUUUCGAUGGUACGUGAUAUGCCUACCAUGGUGAUAACGGGUAACGGGGAAUCAGGGUUCGAUUCCGGAGAGGGAGCCUGAGAAAUGGCUACCACAUCCAAGGAUGGCAGCAGGCGCGCAAAUUACCCACUCCUAGCUUGGGGAGGUAGUGACGAAAAAUAACAAUGCGGGACUCUAAGAGGCCCCGUAAUUGGAAUGAGUACACCUUAAAUCGUUUAACGAGUAUCAAUUGGAGGGCAAGUCUGGUGCCAGCAGCCGCGGUAAUUCCAGCUCCAAUAGCGUAUAUUAAAGUUGCUGCAGUUAAAAAGCUCGUAGUUGGAUCUGGGGCUUGAGGUCGCUGUCUAUCGUUUCGGCGAUGACGGUGAUGCUCAGCUCUGCUUGCCGGUGACUGUUGCGGUGUUCUUCACUGAGCGCUGUAGCAGCACGGCACGUUUACUUUGAAAAAAUUAGAGUGCUCAAAGCGUGCUUGUCGCUUGAAUAAUGUUGCAUGGAAUAAUGGAAUAGGACCUCGGUUCUAUUUUGUUGGUUUUCGGAGCUUGAGGUAAUGAUUAAGAGGGACGAACGGGGGCAUUCGUAUUGCGGUGUUAGAGGUGAAAUUCUUGGAUCGCCGCAAGACGGACUACUGCGAAAGCAUUUGCCAAGAACGCUUUCAUUAAUUAAGAACGAAAGUCAGAGGUUCGAAGACGAUCAGACACCGUCCUAGUUCUGACCAUAAACGAUGCCGACCAGCGAUCCGUAGUGGUUGCUUUAUGGACCCUACGGGCAGCCUCCGGGAAACCAAAGUAUUUGGGUUCCGGGGGAAGUAUGGUUGCAAAGCUGAAACUUAAAGGAAUUGACGGAAGGGCACACCAGGAGUGGAGCCUGCGGCUUAAUUUGACCCAACUCGGGAAAACUCACCCGGUCCGGACACCGUAAGGAUUGACAGACUGAUAGCUCUUUCUUGAUUCGGUGGAUGGUGGUGCAUGGCCGUUCUUAGUUGGUGGAGUGAUUUGUCUGGUUAAUUCCGAUAAUGAACGAGACUCUAGCCUGCUAAGUAGUG